Molecule: unclassified non-coding RNA, 208 nt
Filed under: Hevea brasiliensis (rubber tree)
Lineage: Eukaryota; Viridiplantae; Streptophyta; Magnoliopsida; Malpighiales; Euphorbiaceae
Source: RNAcentral
GAAUCCUGCAGGUUCUUGAUAUUGAUGGUGGUGGUGGUUUUAGUAGUUUUGGGAUUCUUGAAGCUCUGGUGGCUGGUUUCUUGGGGUUUUGUUUCUAAUUCUGUGUUAUUGGGUUUUUUGGGUAUUGGAGAAGUUAAAGGACAUGAAAGGUCCAUGGAUCUUGAACUGGUAGAGCCAAUGAUUUUGAUCUUGGAAUACCCUUUCAUUU